Molecule: unclassified non-coding RNA, 304 nt
Filed under: uncultured fungus
Lineage: Eukaryota; Fungi
Description: partial contains small subunit ribosomal RNA, internal transcribed spacer 1, and 5.8S ribosomal RNA
Rfam family: Eukaryotic small subunit ribosomal RNA (bases 1-73)
Source: RNAcentral
GCAAACUUGGUCAUUUAGAGGAAGUAAAAGUCGUAACAAGGUUUCCGUAGGUGAACCUGCGGAAGGAUCAUCACUGAUUCGGGGGGCAGCGUGGGAGACUGCGCUGUGCCCCAACCAAUCUUGUGUGAACCGUAACGCGCGAUCACUGCGUGAGAGAGAGUGGUUGGCCGGGAGGGGGAUCUCUGCCGGCCGCCGCCAUCACGCGAGCACAAUCUCCUGAUUAAUUUGGUCUAACAUUAUAAACAACACAUACACAACUUUUAACAAUGGAUCUCUUGGCUCUCGCAUCGAUGAAGAACGCAGC